GGGCGAAAGCCUGACGCAGCAACGCCGCGUGAGCGAUGAAGGCCUUCGGGUCGUAAAGCUCUUUCCCAGGGACGAGACAGGACGGUACCUGGGGAAUAAGUCACGGCUAACUACGUGCCAGCAGCCGCGGUAAAACGUAGGUGGCAAGCGUUAUCCGGACUCACUGGGCGUAAAGCGCACGCAGGCGGCACGGCAAGUAGGGCAUGAAAUCACCCGGCUUAACUGGGCGAGGUUGUCCUAAACUGCCGAGCUGGAGGAUGGGAGAGGGAAGUGGAACUGCCGGUGUAGUGGUGAAAUGCGUAGAGAUCAGCAAGAACACCAGUGGCGAAGGCGGCUUCCUGGCCCAGUCCUGACGCUCAAGUGCGAAAGCUAGGGGAGUGAACGGGAUUAGAAACCCCGGUAAUCCUAGCCGUAAACGAUGUACACUAGGUGUCGGGGGUAUUGACCCCCUCGGUGCCGAAGCCAACGCGUUAAGUGUACCGCCUGGGGACUACGGCCGCAAGGUUA
Molecule: ribosomal RNA, 507 nt
Filed under: uncultured bacterium
Lineage: Bacteria
Description: bacterial SSU rRNA
Rfam family: Bacterial small subunit ribosomal RNA
Source: RNAcentral